Molecule: unclassified non-coding RNA, 292 nt
Filed under: uncultured fungus
Lineage: Eukaryota; Fungi
Description: sequence contains ITS2
Source: RNAcentral
AACGCAUAUUGCACCCUCUGGUUAUUCCGGAGGGUAUAUCUGUUUGAGUGUCAUUAAUAUAUCAAACCAAUUAAAUUGGUCUUGGAUACUGAGAGUUGCUGGAUAUUUAAUGUCAGCUCUCUUCAAAUGCAUUAGCUUGGAAUGUAAAGCUACUUUAACUUAGGCUAAUAUGUAUUAAAUGCUUUUGUUAAUUGUUGCUUAUCUGAGCUUAUAAUUGUCCUUUGAGGACUGCCAUAGGCAUUUAUUAUUUGAUCAUGACCUCAAAUCAGAUAGGAUUACCCGCUGAACUUAA